This 86-nucleotide transfer RNA is filed under the name Buccinum undatum (waved whelk). RNAcentral describes it as "tRNA-Arg". The record is from RNAcentral. Lineage: Eukaryota; Metazoa; Mollusca; Gastropoda; Neogastropoda; Buccinidae.
GUAUAAAAAGCGAGAAAUUUGCAUAUGGUUUCGGCCCGUAUCUUGGGGGUGAAAGUCCCUUUUUAUAUUUUAAUUUAUUUAAAUAG